CGGGGCAUAGCUCAGUUUGGUAGAGCGCUUGGUUCGGGACCAAGAGGUCGUAGGUUCGAAUCCUGUUGCUCCGACCA
Molecule: transfer RNA, 77 nt
Filed under: Megamonas hypermegale
Lineage: Bacteria; Bacillati; Bacillota; Negativicutes; Selenomonadales; Selenomonadaceae
Also listed under: 1 other name
Description: tRNA-Pro(cgg)
Rfam family: tRNA
About the family: Transfer RNA (tRNA) molecules are approximately 80 nucleotides in length. Their secondary structure includes four short double-helical elements and three loops (D, anti-codon, and T loops). Further hydrogen bonds mediate the characteristic L-shaped molecular structure. tRNAs have two regions of fundamental functional importance: the anti-codon, which is responsible for specific mRNA codon recognition, and the 3' end, to which the tRNAs corresponding amino acid is attached (by aminoacyl-tRNA synthetases). tRNAs cope with the degeneracy of the genetic code in two manners: having more than one tRNA (with a specific anti-codon) for a particular amino acid; and 'wobble' base-pairing, i.e. permitting non-standard base-pairing at the 3rd anti-codon position.
Source: RNAcentral